GAUGAAGAACGUAGCGAAAUGCGAUAAGUAGUGUGAAUUGCAGAAGUACCGUGAAUCAUCGAAUCUUUGAACGCAAAUUGCACUCUCUGGUAUUCCGGGGAGUAUGCCUGUUUGAGGGUCGCUUAACAAACCAUCGAUUUCGUUGCUUUUUUUUUUUAAAGUGAUGUUUAUCGGAUUUGAGCCGUCUUUUUUUUUAUAUUUAAGUGGCUUAAAAUUGAUUUUUUUGGUACGAUCGAAGCGUAUUUUUAUAAUCAAUUUUUGGUUAAAGAAACGCACACGUACCGUUAUUUAUAUGAUGUAAUACGUUUGACUAUUGGAUUUAGUUCAUUCGUAUACGAUAUCUUUCAAUAUUUGACCUCAAAUCAGGUAAGAACACCCGCUGAACUUAAGCAUAUCAAUAAGCGGAGGA
This 409-nucleotide unclassified non-coding RNA is filed under the name soil metagenome. RNAcentral's name for it is "partial contains 5.8S ribosomal RNA, internal transcribed spacer 2, and large subunit ribosomal RNA". The stretch from base 1 to 121 matches the Rfam family "5.8S ribosomal RNA", at positions 35 to 154 of the family's 154-position model. The record is from RNAcentral.